GCAAACUCAGACUGGUUCUUAAAUGAGAGGGAAGUAGUCACAUGAGAAGAUAAGAAUUCUUUAUGGGGAGAUUACACUUCCAGUGGAGGCUUCGAGACUGCUUUGAGAAUAAGGCUGAGCUAGCUCAUCUCCGAGGAAAGAGCAGCUACUUGGCACAUGCCAUGGGUUUAGCUGGUGUUGGGAAUCGGAAGUUGGGAUCUGUGCUUCCUCUGUGACCAAUCUACAGCCUCUCUGGAGGCUUGGGGAGCAUGCCCUUCCCUCCAGAGGCACUGCCAAAGCUAGUUCAUUCUUUUCCAUGCUUUGGCUCGACCUCCGGAGGGUUCAAAAGUAAGUUUACAAAGCUUGGCUGAGAUACUAAGUCUGCGGUGAGUCCCUGACUCAGGAAGAACUCAGGCCUCCUGCCUUAGUGUCUGGUCACAGUGUCAAGGCUGGUUAGUUACCCACGGAAUGACUGAGCCGGAGAGUCAAUGGAUGGAGUGAUGGAUGAAUGGAGAAGGUACAGAUGGUGACAGCAAUGGCUAUUACAGGAGAUGCUCGCCAACUUAAGGACUUGUAAGCCGCUCACUUCGUGGGAGAGAGACAGAGAGAGGCUCUGACGCUUCAUAUUGAUUGCCAGCUUGACAGCACGUACAAUCAUCUGGGAUGUGAGUCUCUAGGCAUGCCUCUUAGGGAGUUUCCCGAUUAGGUUAAUGGAGGUGGGUGGGGAAUAGUUCACCCUAAAUGUGAGUGGUACCAUUCCAUGGGAAGAGAUCCCAGGCUGAAUAAAAAGAAUGCAAGCUCAACACCAAUAUUAACCUCUCCUUGAUUCCUGACUACAGAGGCAAAGUGACCAACUGCCUCCCUGCCAUGAUGGAUUUUGCAAUCAAACUGUGAACCAAAAUCAACACUUCCUUCAGUUGCUUUUCCUAUGUGUUUUCUGACAGCCAUGAGAAAAGUGUUAAUACAGGUACCUGGGACAAGAUACAGCACCCAAGGACAUAUCCUUGGGGAUCUUCUUGCUGUACCUAGAUGUGGAAGUUUCCAUUGCCUCCCAAUGCUGUCACAUCAUGAGUCCAUCAAGGGAAAAAUCCAUGGAUUAGGUCACACAGCGUCCCCACUCCCUUAAAACAGGAAUCUCUCUUUCAAUGACUGGAUCUACCAACUGGAACCAAUCCCAACUCUUUUUUUUUUCCUGAGAGCAUCUCCUAUUCAGACCAUCUUAGAACCUCUCAGCUUCGAUAACCGUGUGGGCCAACCUCCUCCCUACCCCUACCCCUGCCUUUUUCCCUACACACCAGCCUUGAUUGGAAAAUUAGUACCAGGAAAAGGAAAGAGACGAAACAAUUAUCUCCAUUACGGCUCCUGUACCUCUCCACAAAUGCCUUUACCUUUCACCUCAUUAAAACUUAAUCGACAUACAAUAAACUGAACAUAUUUAAAGUGUAUCAUAUGAUGAGUUUUGACAUAUGUGUGUUCAAGAUAAUGAGCAUAUCCAUCAUCCCCCAAAGUUUCUUUGUGCCCUCCCCCUUUGAAAUCCUUGGCUCCUGCUCCCCGCCCCCAGUCCCUAGGCAACCAGAUCUGCUUUCUGUCACUACGGGCUCAUUUGCAUUUCCUACAAUUAUAUAAAUGGAAGCAUCCAGUAUUAUGCGCUGUUUGCUUGUCUUCUUUCACUCAGCAUAAUUAUUUUGAGCUCCAUCUGUGUCGUAGUAUGUAUCGAUAGUUCACUCCUUCUCACUUGAUGAUAUUUUGUUACAUGAAUAUCCUGCGAUUUGUUUAUCCGUUCACCAGUUGAUGGACCCAUGAUAUUUCCAGGCUUUUUUUUUCCUUUACUAUUCUAAUUCAUGUUGCUAAGAGCAUUUAGGUGAAAGUCUAGACCUGCCUAUUCUGUCCCUCUUCCUGGGUACACUCCUAAAAGAGGAAUGGUUGGAUCACAUUCUAGGUAGUUGUUUAACUUUUUGAAAAGGUGCCAUACUGCCUUCUAAAUUAGUCGUACCAUUUUACAUUACCCAGCAGUGUAUGAGGAUUCCAAUUGAUUCACAGUCUUGGCAGCACUUGGUACGUUCAGGCUGCUUAACUUUAGCCAUUCCAAGAGAUGCACACCAAUAUGCCUGGUAGUAUCCAUUUGCAUUUCCCUAAUGAAGAGCGAUGUUAAAUAUCUGUCAUAUGCUUCUUUUUUGUGUGAUGUACCUUCUAUGGUAAAGCCAGAUUUCUUAAAACUCAAUUUAAAAUUAAAUUGUUUAUGCUCUUA
Non-coding RNA from Rattus norvegicus (Norway rat), 2227 nucleotides. Lineage: Eukaryota; Metazoa; Chordata; Mammalia; Rodentia; Muridae. The record is from RefSeq and is a predicted model, not a curated record.